AUGGUGUUUUAUCUGGAGACAUUGUUCAUAUUUUAAAACACCAUGACUAUGAUUCAAGUCAUGGUGUUUUAUCUGGAGACAUUGUUCAUGGCGUGGUGUUAAAACAUCUAUGAUUCAAGUCAUGGUGUUUUAUCAGGAGACAUUGUUCAUGGCGUGGUGUUUUAUCAAUACAAAAACAUCCCCAGAUUUUAAAACACCAUGACUAUGAUUCAACUCAUGGUGUUUUAUCUGUAGACAUUGUUCAUGGUGUGGUGUUUUAAACAUCUAUGAUUCAAGUCAUGGUGUUUUAUAUGGAGAUAUUGUAUAAUCAGAUUCAUGGCGUGUUGUUUUAAAAUAACUGGAUAAAUUGACUAUGAUUCAAGUCAUGGUGUUUUAUCUAGAACCCAGAAAACAUUGUAUUGCGAUUACAUCCAUGGUGUUUUAACAUCUGGACAAUCAAAAUACAAAACAUUCCCAUAUUUUAAAACACCAUGACCAUGAUUCAAGUCACGAUCAGAAAUGAGGAUGACGAAGAUGAAAGACGAUGACGGUGAAUGAUUUGUGGAGAUGAAAGAAAUUGGUGACGGUGGUCGGAUAUGCAUGUGUGUUCAAAUCGGAGAAGAUGACGUGAAGAUGAUGAUGAAACAAUCAAUCCCUAAAAAUUCUCAUGGCCAGUUUUUUUUUUUUUCAGUUAUAUUGUAAAUCAAUUAAAUGACAAAAAUGUACAAUUACUAAUCUACCCUUUUGAAUUAAUUAAGAGGAGGGACACUUGUCAUUCCAAGAUUAUUUCUUACACUUCUUACAAAAGAUGGACUUUUUACAGGAUCCUUUACCUAUAUUUUAAUAUCAAAAUAAUUUUAUCG
Molecule: long non-coding RNA, 842 nt
Filed under: Helianthus annuus (common sunflower)
Lineage: Eukaryota; Viridiplantae; Streptophyta; Magnoliopsida; Asterales; Asteraceae
Description: hypothetical non coding rna
Source: RNAcentral